Molecule: ribosomal RNA, 831 nt
Filed under: uncultured marine bacterium
Lineage: Bacteria
Description: bacterial SSU rRNA
Rfam family: Bacterial small subunit ribosomal RNA
Source: RNAcentral
GUCGAGGGGUAACAGAGAGAAGCUCGCUUUUCUGCUGACGACCGGCGCACGGGUGCGUAACGCGUAUACAAUCUGCCUUAUACAAAGGGAUAGCCUUUAGAAAUGAAGAUUAAUACCUUAUAGUCUAUUUUUAUAGCAUUAUUUAAAUAGUAAAGCUUCGGUGGUAUAAGAUGAGUAUGCGUCCUAUUAGUUAGUUGGUAAGGUAACGGCUUACCAAGACAACGAUAGGUAGGGGCCCUGAGAGGGGGAUCCCCCACACUGGUACUGAGACACGGACCAGACUCCUACGGGAGGCAGCAGUGAGGAAUAUUGGACAAUGGAGGCAACUCUGAUCCAGCCAUGCCGCGUGCAGGAAGACGGCCCUAUGGGUUGUAAACUGCUUUUAUAUAGGAAGAAACCUUUUCACGUGUGAGAAGCUGACGGUACUAUAAGAAUAAGGACCGGCUAACUCCGUGCCAGCAGCCGCGGUAAUACGGAGGGUCCGAGCGUUAUCCGGAAUCAUUGGGUUUAAAGGGUCCGUAGGCGGGAAUCUAAGUCAGUGGUGAAAUCUUGCAGCUCAACUGUAAAAUUGCCAUUGAUACUGGAUUUCUUGAAUUAGUGUGAAGUGAUUAGAAUGUGUAGUGUAGCGGUGAAAUGCAUAGAUAUUACACAGAAUACCAAUUGCGAAGGCAGAUCACUAACACUAUAUUGACGCUGAGGGACGAAAGCGUGGGGAGCGAACAGGAUUAGAUACCCUGUAGUCCACGCCGUAAACGAUGGAUACUAGCUGUUCGAUCUUCGGAUUGAGUGGCUAAGCGAAAGUGAUAAGUAUCCCACCUGGGGAGUACGUUC